Molecule: ribosomal RNA, 471 nt
Filed under: uncultured bacterium
Lineage: Bacteria
Description: bacterial SSU rRNA
Rfam family: Bacterial small subunit ribosomal RNA
Source: RNAcentral
GCAGUGCAUCCUACGGGAGGCAGCAGUGGGGAAUAUUGCACAAUGGGCGCAAGCCUGAUGCAGUCCAUGCCGCGUGUAUGAAGAAGGCCUUCGGGUUGUAAAGUACUUUCAGCAGUGAGGAAGGUGGAUAUGUUAAUAGCAUAUUCAUUUGACGUUAGCUGCAGAAGAAGCACCGGCUAACUCCGUGCCAGCAGCCGCGGUAAUACGGAGGGUGCGAGCGUUAAUCGGAAUUACUGGGCGUAAAGCGCAUGCAGGUGGUUUGUUAAGUCAGAUGUGAAAGCCCGGGGCUCAACCUCGGAAUUGCAUUUGAAACUGGCAAACUAGAGUACUGUAGAGGGGGUAGAAUUUCAGGUGUAGCGGUGAAAUGCGUAGAGAUCUGAAGGAAUACCGGUGGCGAAGGCGGCCCCCUGGACAGAUACUGACACUCAGAUGCGAAAGCGUGGGGAGCAAACAGGAUUAGAUACCCCGGAG